AAGAGAAACAAAAUAUUCAAAGAAAGAAUUUGCUUAUAAAAUAAUAUGAUCAAUCAAUCAAAGAGCUAAACUACUACUCCAAGAAUAUCAGUGCUACGAUUUGAACUCUUAACGUUUUGUAUGAUGAGAUAGACACUCAAUUAUUUUCCUAGCCCAACAGCAUCAACAUUUUUAUUUUGAAUAUUCUUUCUUCGUAUUAUUU
This 202-nucleotide unclassified non-coding RNA is filed under the name Hevea brasiliensis (rubber tree). The record is from RNAcentral. Lineage: Eukaryota; Viridiplantae; Streptophyta; Magnoliopsida; Malpighiales; Euphorbiaceae.